Molecule: ribosomal RNA, 982 nt
Filed under: uncultured bacterium
Lineage: Bacteria
Description: bacterial SSU rRNA
Rfam family: Bacterial small subunit ribosomal RNA
Source: RNAcentral
ACUCCUACGGGAGGCAGCAGUGGGGAAUAUUGCACAAUGGGCGAAAGCCUGAUGUAGCAACGCCGCGUGAGUGAUGAAGGCCUUCGGGUUGUAAAGCUCUGUCUUUGGGGACGAUAAUGACGGUACCCAAGGAGGAAGCCACGGCUAACUACGUGCCAGCAGCCGCGGUAAUACGUAGGUGGCAAGCGUUGUCCGGAUUUACUGGGCGUAAAGGAUGCGUAGGUGGAUAUGCAAGUCAGAUGUGAAAUACCCGGGCUUAACUCGGGUGCUGCAUUUGAAACUAUAUAUCUAGAGUGCAGGAGAGGUAAGUGGAAUUCCUAGUGUAGCGGUGAAAUGCGUAGAGAUUAGGAAGAACACCAGUGGCGAAGGCGACUUACUGGACUGUAACUGACACUGAGGCAUGAAAGCGUGGGGAGCAAACAGGAUUAGAUACCCUGGUAGUCCACGCCGUAAACGAUGGGUACUAGGUGUAGGGGGUAUCGACUCCCUCUGUGCCGCAGUUAACACAAUAAGUACCCCGCCUGGGGAGUACGGUCGCAAGAUUAAAACUCAAAGGAAUUGACGGGGACCCGCACAAGCAGCGGAGCAUGUGGUUUAAUUCGAAGCAACGCGAAGAACCUUACCUAGACUUGACAUCUCCUGAAUAACCUAGAGAUAGGCGAAGCUCUUCGGAGCAGGAUGACAGGUGGUGCAUGGUUGUCGUCAGCUCGUGUCGUGAGAUGUUGGGUUAAGUCCCGCAACGAGCGCAACCCUUAUCACUAGUUGCUACCAUUUAGUUGAGCACUCUAAUGAGACUGCCCGGGUUAACCGGGAGGAAGGUGGGGAUGACGUCAAAUCAUCAUGCCCCUUAUGUCUAGGGCUACACACGUGCUACAAUGGGCAGUACAGUGAGAUGCAAACUCGUGAGAGUGAGCCAAACUAUAAAACUGUUCCCAGUUCGGAUUGUAGGCUGCAACUCGCCUACAUGAAGCCGGAGUUGCUA